RNAcentral lists this ribosomal RNA (465 nucleotides) under uncultured bacterium. Its description in RNAcentral is "partial 16S ribosomal RNA". It matches the Rfam family "Bacterial small subunit ribosomal RNA", at positions 338 to 795 of the family's 1533-position model. The record is from RNAcentral.
CCUACGGGUGGCAGCAGUAGGGAAUCUUCCACAAUGGGCGAAAGCCUGAUGGAGCAACGCCGCGUGGGUGAAGAAGGUCUUCGGAUCGUAAAACCCUGUUGUUAGAGAAGAAAGUGCGGGAGAGUAACUGUUCACGUAUCGACGGUAUCUAACCAGAAAGCCACGGCUAACUACGUGCCAGCAGCCGCGGUAAUACGUAGGGUGCAAGCGUUAUCCGGAUUUAUUGGGCGUAAAGGGAACGCAGGCGGUCUUUUAAGUCUGAUGUGAAAUCCUCCGGCUUAACCGGGGUAGUGCAUUGGAAACUGGGAGACUUGAGUGCAGAAGAGGAGGGUGGAACGCCAUGUGUAGCGGUGAAAUGCGUAGAUAUAUGGAAGAACACCAGUGGCGAAGGCGACUCUCUGGUCUGUAACUGACGCUGAGGUUCGAAAGCGUGGGUAGCAAACAGGAUUAGAUACCCUAGUAGUC